AUACGGAGGGUGCAAGCGUUAAUCGGAAUUACUGGGCGUAAAGCGCGCGUAGGCGGUUUGAUAAGUCGGAUGUGAAAUCCCCGGGCUCAACCUGGGAAUUGCAUUCGAUACUGUCAGGCUAGAGUGUGGUAGAGGGAAGUGGAAUUUCCGGUGUAGAGGUGAAAUGCGUAGAUAUCAGAAGGAACACCAGUGGCGAAGGCGGCUUCCUGGACCAACACUGACGCUGAGGUGCGAAAGCGUGGGGAGCAAACAGGAUUAGAAACCCGUGUAGUCC
RNAcentral lists this ribosomal RNA (274 nucleotides) under uncultured bacterium. Its description in RNAcentral is "partial 16S ribosomal RNA". It matches the Rfam family "Bacterial small subunit ribosomal RNA", at positions 523 to 796 of the family's 1533-position model. The record is from RNAcentral.